RNAcentral lists this small RNA (21 nucleotides) under Arabidopsis thaliana (thale cress). RNAcentral's name for it is "AGO1_1708". Lineage: Eukaryota; Viridiplantae; Streptophyta; Magnoliopsida; Brassicales; Brassicaceae. The record is from RNAcentral.
CAACCCCUGUUUUUGGUCCCA